Molecule: ribosomal RNA, 497 nt
Filed under: uncultured bacterium
Lineage: Bacteria
Description: partial 16S ribosomal RNA
Rfam family: Bacterial small subunit ribosomal RNA
Source: RNAcentral
ACUCAAAGGAAUUGACGGGGGCCCGCACAAGCGGCGGAGCAUGUUGCUUAAUUCGACGCAACGCGAAGAACCUUACCAAGGCUUGACAUCGCCGGAAAACCAUCAGAGAUGGUGGGUCCUUUUUGGGCCGGUGACAGGUGGUGCAUGGCUGUCGUCAGCUCGUGUCGUGAGAUGUUGGGUUAAGUCCCGCAACGAGCGCAACCCUCGUUCCAUGUUGCCAGCACUUCGGGUGGGGACUCAUGGGAGACCGCCGGGGUCAACUCGGAGGAAGGUGGGGAUGACGUCAAGUCAUCAUGCCCCUUAUGUCUUGGGCUGCAAACAUGCUACAAUGGCCGGUACAGAGGGCUGCGAUACCGUGAGGUGGAGCGAAUCCCUUAAAGCCGGUCUCAGUUCGGAUCGAAGUCUGCAACUCGACUUCGUGAAGUCGGAGUCGCUAGUAAUCGCAGAUCAGCAACGCUGCGGUGAAUACGUUCCCGGGCCUUGUACACACCGCCCGU